CGUCCUACGGGAGGCAGCAGUGAGGAAUAUUGGUCAAUGGUCGGGAGACUGAACCAGCCAAGCCGCGUGAGGGAUGAAGGUACAGAGUAUCGUAAACCUCUUUUGUCAGGGAACAAAGGCGGGGACGCGUCCCCGGAUGAGUGUACCUGAAGAAAAAGCAUCGGCUAACUCCGUGCCAGCAGCCGCGGUAAUACGGAGGAUGCGAGCGUUAUCCGGAAUUAAUGGGUGUAAAGGGAGCGUAGGCGGCAUGGUAAGCCAGAUGUGAAAGCCCGCGGCUUAACCGCGCGGAUUGCAUUUGGAACUAU
This 305-nucleotide ribosomal RNA is filed under the name uncultured bacterium. RNAcentral describes it as "bacterial SSU rRNA". It matches the Rfam family "Bacterial small subunit ribosomal RNA", at positions 335 to 636 of the family's 1533-position model. The record is from RNAcentral.